GAUGAACGCUGGCGGCGUGCCUAAUACAUGCAAGUCGAGCGAACAGACGAGGAGCUUGCUCCUCUGACGUUAGCGGCGGACGGGUGAGUAACACGUGGAUAACCUACCUAUAAGACUGGGAUAACUUCGGGAAACCGGAGCUAAUACCGGAUAAUAUCUUUAACCGCAUGGUUCAAUAGUGAAAGACGGUUUUGCUUUCACUUAUAGAUGGAUCCGCGCCGCAUUAGCUAGUUGGUAAGGUAACGGCUUACCAAGGCAACGAUGCGUAGCCGACCUGAGAGGGUGAUCGGCCAAACGGGAACUGAGACACGGUCCAGACUCCUACGGAAGGAAGCAGUAGGGAAUCUUCCGCAAAGGGCGAAAGCCUGACGGAGAAACGCCGCGUGAGUGAUGAAGGUCUUCGGAUCGUAAAACUCUGUUAUAAGGGAAGAACAAAUGUGUAAGUAACUAUGCACGUCUUGACGGUACCUAAUCAGAAAGCCACGACUAACUACGUG
RNAcentral lists this ribosomal RNA (497 nucleotides) under uncultured bacterium. RNAcentral describes it as "partial 16S ribosomal RNA". It matches the Rfam family "Bacterial small subunit ribosomal RNA", at positions 28 to 507 of the family's 1533-position model. The record is from RNAcentral.